Molecule: ribosomal RNA, 251 nt
Filed under: uncultured prokaryote
Description: partial 16S rRNA
Rfam family: Bacterial small subunit ribosomal RNA
Source: RNAcentral
ACGUAGGGAGCGAGCGUUGUCCGGAAUUACUGGGUGUAAAGGGUGCGUAGGCGGCAGAGCAAGUCAGAUGUGAAAUACACGGGCUUAACCCGUGGGCUGCAUUUGAAACUGUUCAGCUUGAGUGGAGCAGAGGCAGGCGGAAUUCCCGGUGUAGCGGUGAAAUGCGUAGAGAUCGGGAGGAACACCAGUGGCGAAGGCGGCCUGCUGGGCUUUAACUGACGCUGAGGCACGAAAGCGUGGGUAGCAAACAG